RNAcentral lists this ribosomal RNA (261 nucleotides) under uncultured archaeon. Its description in RNAcentral is "partial 16S ribosomal RNA". It matches the Rfam family "Archaeal small subunit ribosomal RNA", at positions 748 to 1009 of the family's 1478-position model. The record is from RNAcentral.
AGGGUGUAAACGCUGCGGGCUUGGUGUUGGGGGUCCUUUGAGGGCGCCCAGUGCCGGAGAGAAGUUGUUAAGCCUGCUGCUUGGGGAGUACGUCCGCAAGGAUGAAACUUAAAGGAAUUGGCGGGGGAGCACCGCAACGGGAGGAGCGUGCGGUUCAAUUGGAUUCAACGCCGGACAACUCACCAGGAGCGACGGUUACAUGAAGGCCAGGCUGAAGACUUUGCCGGAUUAGCUGAGAGGAGGUGCAUGGCGUAGUCGUGU